Molecule: ribosomal RNA, 1390 nt
Filed under: uncultured bacterium
Lineage: Bacteria
Description: bacterial SSU rRNA
Rfam family: Bacterial small subunit ribosomal RNA
Source: RNAcentral
AGAGUUUGAUCCUGGCUCAGGAUGAACGCUGGCGGCGUGCUUAACACAUGCAAGUCGAACGAAGCACUUACCAAGGAUUUCCUCGGAAUGACUAAUAAGUGACUGAGUGGCGGACGGGUGAGUAACGCGUGGGUAACCUACCUCACACAGGGGGAUAACAGUUAGAAAUGACUGCUAAUACCGCAUAAGCGCACAGUAUCGCAUGAUACAGUGUGAAAAACUCCGGUGGUGUGAGAUGGACCCGCGUCUGAUUAGCUAGUUGGUGGGGUAACGGCCUACCAAGGCAACGAUCAGUAGCCGACCUGAGAGGGUGAUCGGCCACAUUGGAACUGAGACACGGUCCAAACUCCUACGGGAGGCAGCAGUGGGGAAUAUUGCACAAUGGGGGAAACCCUGAUGCAGCAACGCCGCGUGAACGAUGAAGGCCUUCGGGUCGUAAAGUUCUGUCCUUGGGGAAGAAAAAAUGACGGUACCCUUGGAGGAAGCCCCGGCUAACUACGUGCCAGCAGCCGCGGUAAUACGUAGGGGGCGAGCGUUAUCCGGAAUUAUUGGGCGUAAAGAGUACGUAGGCGGUUUCUUAAGCGCAGGGUCUAAGGCAAUGGCUCAACCAUUGUUCGCCCUGUGAACUGGGAGACUUGAGUAUCGGAGAGGAAAGCGGAAUUCCUAGUGUAGCGGUGAAAUGCGUAGAUAUUAGGAGGAACACCAGUGGCGAAGGCGGCUUUCUGGACGAAUACUGACGCUGAGGUACGAAAGCGUGGGGAGCAAACAGGAUUAGAUACCCUGGUAGUCCACGCCGUAAACGAUGAGCACUAGGUGUCGGGGUCGCAAGACUUCGGUGCCGCAGUUAACGCAUUAAGUGCUCCGCCUGGGGAGUACGCACGCAAGUGUGAAACUCAAAGGAAUUGACGGGGGCCCGCACAAGCAGCGGAGCAUGUUGUUUAAUUCGAAGCAACGCGAAGAACCUUACCAGGUCUUGACAUCGAGGAAAAGCCGUAGAGAUACGGUGUGCCUUCGGGCAUCCGAAGACAGGUGGUGCAUGGUUGUCGUCAGCUCGUGUCGUGAGAUGUUGGGUUAAGUCCCGCAACGAGCGCAACCCUUAUGGUCAGUUACUAACAGUUCGGCUGAGGACUCUGACAAGACUGCCGGGGACAACUCGGAGGAAGGUGGGGACGACGUCAAAUCAUCAUGCCCCUUAUGACCUGGGCUACAAACGUGCUACAAUGGUGACUACAAAGAGAAGCGAGACCGUGAGGUGGAGCGGAUCUCAAAAAAGUCAUCUCAGUUCGGAUUGUGGGCUGCAACCCGCCCACAUGAAGUUGGAGUUGCUAGUAAUCGCGGAUCAGCAUGCCGCGGUGAAUACGUUCCCGGGCCUUGUACACACCGCCCGUCA